RNAcentral lists this long non-coding RNA (1457 nucleotides) under Marmota monax (woodchuck). The record is from RNAcentral. Lineage: Eukaryota; Metazoa; Chordata; Mammalia; Rodentia; Sciuridae.
UUUAUAAUUAUUAAAUUAAUUCAUACUCAUUGUGAAAAAUUCAGAGAAGACAAUAAUAAGAAAAAAAAGUCCAACCAAUAUCCUACUACCCAGAAAUAAGCACCAUUAAUAUAUAUACACCACAUUUCCUUCCAGAUUUUGUUUCUGUUCUCCUCUCUCUCUCUCUCUCUCUCUCUCUCUCUCUCACACACACACACACACACACACACACACACACACACAGGGACUUGGGGAGUUUUUUGUGCAUUUUACUAAAUAAGAUCAUAACAUAUAUGUUUUUAGUAACCUGUUUUUCAUUUAACCUCACAGGCAUCUUUCCCUGUCAUGUUUCUCACUUCAAGAUGAAAUUUCCUCCGUGUCUCCAGAGGUUUGUUUCCCACCAGCUAACAAUCAGCUCCCGCCUACCGCUGUCAGGAGUAACAUACCUGGGCCCUGCUUUGGAGGGAAUUCAACUAGGACAAGGGGUUCUUGCAGCUUAUUGAAUGGGUGUGAACUCAUAGGGGGAGAAAUCAAUAGUGCACCAGGAUUUAGACAACUUAGCAAAAUGUAUGAGACAGUACUUUAGGUGAAGAAUAACCAUAGCAGCAUGGUUAACCCGUUGGUUGGCUCAAAUACAUGUUUUAUCUAAAGUUUUUGGCAGACACUAACUAGCCUGUUUAAUGAGGUUAAGAAAAUCAUUGUGGUAAUAUGGUCUUCAUGCUAGUACACCCAUUCUAUGUCCUGAAAGUUUUAAAAGCAAGCAAAAUUAAAACAGUUGCAUAGUUGCCUAUAUGGAAAUAAUCUGCAUUUUCUACUUACACCUCUAUGUGGUGAUAAAUUUGAUCAACUUUUGAUUCCACCGCAACAGGAGCUCAAUCCUCUGCCUUCAUUAGACAAUAGUCACAAUAAAUUAUUUAAUUAUAGAAGCAAAUGACUAGAAAUAACAAUAAAGAAUUAUAAAAAUUUAUCCAGAGGAUCAAAUCAAUAUUUUGAUUUAUCCAGAGGAUCAGAUCAAUAUUUUGUGUAAAAAUAACUACGUGAGUAUGAAAUAUCACUUUUAUGGGUGAAUUAUUUACCAUCUAGUGUACAAUUGGGGGGUUGUUUUUUUUCUUACAUUGGUUCAAGUUUCCUAUCAAUGAACUAAAUAUAGAAGGUAGGUAAGGGAAACCAUCUUCCUAACCUCACAUCCAACCCCAGUCCCCAGACAAUGUGACUGUAUCUACAGCACUUUCUGCUGUACUGCAAAUGUCAAACAGAAGGUGUAAUGGAUUUAAUAUUAGCGCUGGCCAAGGUGUUGAGGGAGCUGUUAAUAAUGUCACUCCAGUUAUUGAUCUGAAGCCUUUAAAAAUCAGAGAAAAGUGAGAGAUCCCCUAUUGGGGAAAGGCAUACAGUGACUGGUUUUUAUUGCCAAUAUAUUUCUACAUAUAGAGUGGCAACUUUCUGGAAUUAUGUUAUCACCAUUAAUCUCUCUGAGAUUU